UGGCGGCCGUAGCGCGGUGGUCCCACCUGACCCCAUGCCGAACUCAGAAGUGAAACGCCGUAGCGCCGAUGGUAGUGUGGGGUCUCCCCAUGCGAGAGUAAGGAACUGCCAGGCA
This 115-nucleotide ribosomal RNA is filed under the name Escherichia coli. Lineage: Bacteria; Pseudomonadati; Pseudomonadota; Gammaproteobacteria; Enterobacterales; Enterobacteriaceae. The record is from RNAcentral.